This 467-nucleotide ribosomal RNA is filed under the name uncultured Alphaproteobacteria bacterium. RNAcentral describes it as "bacterial SSU rRNA". It matches the Rfam family "Bacterial small subunit ribosomal RNA", at positions 9 to 524 of the family's 1533-position model. Lineage: Bacteria; Pseudomonadati; Pseudomonadota; Alphaproteobacteria. RNAcentral also lists the same sequence under 1 other name. The record is from RNAcentral.
GAGUUUGAUCGUGGCUCAGAACGAACGCUGGCGGCAGGCUUAACACAUGCAAGUCGAACGCACCGCAAGGUGAGUGGCAGACGGGUGAGUAACACGUGGGGAUCUGCCCAAUGGUACGGAAUAGCUCCGGGAAACUGGAAUUAAUACCGUAUGUGCCCUUCGGGGGAAAGAUUUAUCGCCAUUGGAUGAACCCGCGUCGGAUUAGCUAGUUGGUGAGGUAAAGGCUCACCAAGGCGACGAUCCGUAGCUGGUCUGAGAGGAUGAUCAGCCACACUGGGACUGAGACGCGGCCCAGACUCCUACGGGAGGCAGCAGUGGGGAAUAUUGGACAAUGGGCGCAAGCCUGAUCCAGCCAUGCCGCGUGAGUGAUGAAGGCCUUAGGGUUGUAAAGCUCUUUCGCCGACGAAGAUAAUGACGGUAGUCGGAGGAGAAGCCCCGGCUAACUUCGUGCCAGCAGCCGCGGUAAU